GCUGAGCGCAAGAGAAGCACUGCGCUAGAUCAGGCUAAUAGUCACCCUGUUGCUGUAUCCUCUCAUCAGACUACUGCCGAAACUAAGCUAAAAACAGAAGAAAUAGAGAAAGACUGUUUCAAACAGCUACUGAACAGCGAACGAUUGUACAGAGAGUUGACAAUUACAGAAAAUACGUUCGUUAAGACUUUGGACGAUGAACUUGAAGACAAUAAGCGAAAACACAAGCAGAAGUAUGAU
Bolinopsis microptera is the source of this 240-nucleotide long non-coding RNA. RefSeq lists it as uncharacterized. The record is from RefSeq and is a predicted model, not a curated record. Lineage: Eukaryota; Metazoa; Ctenophora; Tentaculata; Lobata; Bolinopsidae. The transcript has 3 exons.